This 492-nucleotide ribosomal RNA is filed under the name uncultured bacterium. RNAcentral's name for it is "partial 16S ribosomal RNA". It matches the Rfam family "Bacterial small subunit ribosomal RNA", at positions 29 to 507 of the family's 1533-position model. The record is from RNAcentral.
AUUGAACGCUGGCGGCAUGCUUUACACAUGCGAGUCGAACGGUAACAGGCCUUCGGGUGCUGACGAGUGGCGAACGGGUGAGUAAUGCAUCGGAACGUACCCAGAGGUGGGGGAUAACGCAGCGAAAGCUGUGCUAAUACCGCAUGUGAUCUGAGGAUGAAAGCGGGGGACCGAGCAGCAAUGUUUGGCCUCGCGCCUUUGGAGCGGCCGGUGUCGGAUUAGCUAGUUGGUGGGGUAAAGGCCUACCAAGGCGACGAUCCGUAGCUGGUCUGAGAGGACGAGCGGCCACACUGGAACUGAGACAGGGGCCAGACGCCGACGGGAGGCAGCAGGAGGGGAUCGUGCGCAAUGCGCGGAAGCCUGACCGAGCAAUGCCGCGUGAGUGAUGAAGGGCGUCGGAUCGUGAAACUCUGUUACGGGGGAAGAACAUAUGUCGAAGGAACCGUGCACACCUUGACGGUACCUAAUCAGAAAGCAACGGCUAACUACGUG